GAAAGAAAUGCAGAUUACAUGAUUGUUUGCCUAAGUUCGUUAGAUAGACAAUUUUAUUUGAGGCAAAACAGAGAUUAGGAACUUGCGAGGAUGAAAACAGAUGUUAGGAAAUGACAGUUUAUUGAAAACAGUUCCAAGAAACAUGGUUGAAGUUGAAAACAAACUAAGAAAGAGGAUUCUCUUCCUCCAUUUCAAAGCAAGCUAUCAGCUCGAGAUGGCAAUCUCCUGAAGAAAUUGCUAGGAACUGAUGGUAGCUUGCUUCGAAAUCUAGGAUGCCUGAACCAGAAUAAGCCUGUAAUCAAGACAAUUAUCUUGAAAGGCGUUAUGUAGAGCACAAAAGCUGCAAUAAAGCAGAAAAUUACAUAGAGCGCUGUUGCUCUUGGGUCUCUCCAGCUGAGGAGAGCCUGAAAUCGUUCCCCUUGUGUUGCCAUAUCUCCCACCACUGUUUGAAUCCUUCCUGCAACACUUCUAAGCCUGUCAUACCUCAUUCGUGCUACAUCUUGCUGCUUUGAUGUAGGGAAAGUGUCGAAUUCCUCAUCU
This 540-nucleotide unclassified non-coding RNA is filed under the name Hevea brasiliensis (rubber tree). The record is from RNAcentral. Lineage: Eukaryota; Viridiplantae; Streptophyta; Magnoliopsida; Malpighiales; Euphorbiaceae.